UUCCUACGGGACGCAGCAGUGAGGAAUAUUGGUCAAUGGGCGGGAGCCUGAACCAGCCAAGUCGCGUGAGGGAAGAAGGCCCUGCGGGUCGCAGACCUCUUUGGACGGGGAGCAAGGCCGCCGACGUGUCGGCGGAAGGAGAGUACCCGUAGAACAAGCAUCGGCUAACUCCGUGCCAGCAGCCGCGGUAAUACGGAGGAUGCGAGCGUUAUCCGGAUUUAUUGGGUUUAAAGGGUGCGUAGGCGGAUCGUUAAGUCAGUGGUCAAAUUGAGGGGCUCAACCCCUUCCCGCCAUUGAAACUGGCG
Molecule: ribosomal RNA, 305 nt
Filed under: uncultured bacterium
Lineage: Bacteria
Description: bacterial SSU rRNA
Rfam family: Bacterial small subunit ribosomal RNA
Source: RNAcentral